RNAcentral lists this ribosomal RNA (406 nucleotides) under uncultured bacterium. Its description in RNAcentral is "partial 16S ribosomal RNA". It matches the Rfam family "Bacterial small subunit ribosomal RNA", at positions 30 to 526 of the family's 1533-position model. The record is from RNAcentral.
AUUGAACGCUGGCGGCAGGCCUAACACAUGCAAGUCGAACGAGUGGCGGACGGGUGAGUAAUGUCUGGGAAACUGCCUGAUAGAGGGGGAUAACUACUGGAAACGGUAGCUAAUACCGCAUACUAUCGGAUGUGCCCAGAUGGGAUUAGCUAGUAGGUGGGGUAACGGCUCACCUAGGCGACGAUCCCUAGCUGGUCUGAGAGGAUGACCAGCCACACUGGGACUGAGACACGGUCCAGACUCCUACGGGAGGCAGCAGUGGGGAAUAUUGCACAAUGGGCGCAAGCCUGAUGCAGCCAUGCCGCGUGUAUGAAGAAGGCCUUCGGGUUGUAAAGUACUGUCAGCGGGGAGGCGUUACCCGCAGAAGAAGCAACGGCUAACUCCGUGCCAGCAGCCGCGGUAAUAC